CAAACCUCUCUGAUCCCUUUCUGCGUUCUCCGUAUCACUAUAUCCAGCUGUGAGAGACUUCUUUACUUUCACCAUCCGCAAACAUCAAAAUGCUGGAUGACUGUGCAAACGGGAUUUGAUUGAGAUAAGUUUGUUUGGCCCCAAGGGUGCCUACAGGGAACACAAUACAGUUUAUUCACAGCUUUCAGAGAUAGCAAGGACAUUGCCGACAUCAAAAAGUUUCACCCAUUUAUAGUUUUAAGGCUAAACUUCUGGUUUCAGUUUUACAUACGGAGUAAAGGGAUUACACAGUUCCUUUAAAAGAGUAAUAAAAUAGAAUAACAGAUCAGAUUCAUCCUUGUUAGCAGUUAAGCUUUUUUGUUUUUUUUUUUUUUUUUUCUCUUUCUUUUUUCCUUUUUCUUCUUUUUUUUCUCUUUCUUUUUUCCUUUUUCUUCUCUUUUUUUUCUUUUUUCUUCUUCUUUUUCUCUCUCUUUUUUCUUCUUCUCUUUUCCUCUUCUUCUUUUCUUCUUUUUUUUCUUUUUGAUUUAAAAGACACCUUGUGUAACUAAGUGGUUUUGACAAAAGUGCAUUAUUGUUUAGAUUAGGGGUCUCAAACUCGUGGCCCGUGGGCCAUUUGCGGCCCACGUCACUUCUACUUGCGGCCCGCAUAUUGAUGUGAAGAAAUAUUUUUUAAAAAUUAUUAUACGAAAAAUGAUUUAAUACGACGGCAGAGUGUUACAGGCAUGGCCGUUUAAGACUGUGGCCUCAUGGGUGGUGUAGUCCGUGCAGCAGGGAGAACGUGUGGGACCGCCCCUCCCGCUGUGUGAGCAUGAGGGAGGGAGAAAAAGAAAAGUGGAAAAGUAGGAGCUGUCACGGAGCAGAAACGGAAGCUGGAAGCAUGUAAAUAUAAUAAUAACCACUGACGAGCCCAGCUGUAAGUAAGCUGUUAAGACUUGACUGUACGCUGUGUUCCUGUUUUCCUCCGAAACAAUAAAGUUCUGCUGGAGCAGCCUUUCAGCGCCUCUCUCUGUCUCUCGCUAGCAAAGCUGACCCAGACAGUAAAGCUCAUUCGUGGCUACGAGCCCCACACGGACCCCAC
Molecule: long non-coding RNA, 1078 nt
Organism: Astatotilapia calliptera (eastern happy)
Lineage: Eukaryota; Metazoa; Chordata; Actinopteri; Cichliformes; Cichlidae
Source: Ensembl